Molecule: transfer RNA, 72 nt
Filed under: Tachyta nana
Lineage: Eukaryota; Metazoa; Arthropoda; Insecta; Coleoptera; Carabidae
Description: tRNA-Trp
Source: RNAcentral
AAGGAUUUAGGUUAAAUAAACCAAUAGCCUUCAAAGCUUUAAAUAAAGAUUCCCCCCCUUCUUUAAGCCUUA